Molecule: ribosomal RNA, 2210 nt
Filed under: Candidatus Pacearchaeota archaeon CG_4_9_14_0_2_um_filter_39_13
Lineage: Archaea; Nanobdellati
Description: bacterial LSU rRNA
Rfam family: Archaeal large subunit ribosomal RNA
Source: RNAcentral
AAUAUCUACAACGAUUUCUUUUGAAGUCGUUGGGUGCGAGAAGUCAAAUGGAUUAGACCUGAAGCCAGAUGAUCUAUUCAUGGGCAAGGUGAAGUCUCUCGAAAGAGGGAUGGAGGCCUGAACCGGUGUUGUGAACAUGCACUCGAAUGAUCUGUGAAUAGGGGUGAAAAGCCUCUCUAAUCUGGCGAUGGCUGGUUCCUGCUGAAAUAUGCCUUCGUAUAGUCUUGUUUAGUUUGUUAGCGGUGUAAAGUACGGAUAGAAUUCGCAGGAGCUAAUGCUUACGGAAUUCUUUCCAACUCAGAAGCUGUUAACUGCUUAGAACAGGAAACAGGGGCGGUAUGUAAGAUACUGUUCCGAGAGUGGAAUAACACAGACCAAAGUUAAGGUCCCAAAAUUUAUGCUAAGUGUAUCAAAAGGCGUCUUAAAUCUGAGACAGUAGGGAUGUAAGCUUAGAAGCAGCUAUCAUUUAAAGAAAGCGUAACAGCUCACCUAUCAAGAUUCAAGGCCCUGAAAAUGGACGGGGCUCAAGCAUAAUACCGACACUUUGGCGGAACUCGUAAGAGUUUUCGGGUAAGCAGGCGUGGUUUUUGUGCAGAAGCAUUUUCGAGAGAAAGUGUGGAACGAAAACCAAUGAGAAUCCUGGUAAUAGUAGGAUGUGAUUAUCCUGAGAAUGGAUAAGGUCGUAAGGGUAAGGUUUCCUCGGCAAUAUACGUUAGCCGAGGGUUAGUCAGAACCUAAGUUGUGUCUUAACUGAGCACGACGAUGGAUGUCAGGUUAAUAUUCCUGAACUAAUUGAAUCUUAUAUAGUAUAUUUUGCUUUGGGAUAAAUGAGCAUUCGAAAGAAUGUUCUAACAAAAAAAUUUAUUGAGGGUAAUCCAUAGACGUAAAUGAAUUUGUUAGACAAAAUUGUUGAUUCCGAGAGCCAGUGAAAAGAUUAUACUCUUGAUUUAAUUAUCUGUACCCACAACCGACACUGGUGCCCUAGCUGAAAAGGCUAAGACCUGUAAGGGAAAACCAACUAAGGGAAUUCGGCAAAUUAGCCCUGUAGCUUCGGCUUAAGGGGUGUCUAUCUUUGUAUGCUUAGAAAUUUGUGUGCAUUGGUAGAUUUCAAUAACAAGGAUGGCCCGACUGUUUACCAAAAACGUAGCCACGUGCUAAUCUGAAAAGACUUGUAUACGUGGUGAGACCUGCCCAGUGGUGGUGUCUCAAACUCUUUUUCAAGGGAGCUAAGGCCCAUUAAACGGCGGAGGUAACUAUGACCUUCUUAAGGUAGCGUAAUACCUUGUCGUCUGAAUGGCGACUUGCAUGAAUGGUUUAACGAGGUUGUCACUGUCCCUAGUUGGAGCCUUCUGAAAAUACUGCGUGGUGAAAAUGCCACGGACAUCUAGUGGGAAGCGAAGACCUUGUGGAACUUUACUGCAACUUGUUGUUGUGAUUUUAUCAGAAAUGCAUAGGAUAGGUAGGAGCGUCGAAGUGUUAAUUUAGGUUGGCAUGGAGCAAAAGUGUAAUACUACUUAUUUUUGCUAAGAUUGCUUACUGUUUACAGGACAGCAACAGGCGGGCAGUUUGGCUGGGGCGGCGCCCUGUCGAAAAAAUAUCGAUAGGACCCAAAGAUAAGCUCAUCUAGCUUGGAAAUCUAGAGUUGAGUGCGAGGGCAAAAGCUUAUCUGACUGUAUUUUGAAAAGCAAGAAAUGCAGAGAGGAAACUCGGGCCUAGUGAACCCACGUGCUUUUUUAAUAGAAGCCGUGUCUGAUAGAAAAGUUACCCCAAGGAUAACAGGCUUGUCGCGCCCGAUAGUCCAUAUUGACGGCGCGGUUUGGUACAUCGCUGUCGGCUCUUCCUAUCCUGCGCGUGCAGAAGCGUGCAAGGGUGUCGGAGUUCACGCAUUAAAAGGAAUCGUUAGCUGGGUUAAGAACGUCGUGAGACAGUUUGUAUGAUAUCUCCUAGGUGUGUUGUUGUCUGAGUGGAACUAUCUUGUAGUACGAGAGGAACCAAGAUCGGAUGCCUCUGGUGAGCAGUUGUCAUUUGGCAGGUUGCAUAGCUACGCAUUGUGUGGAUAAGAGCUGAACGCAUCUAAGCUCGAAGCCAUCCGCAAAACGAGACAACUAAGGCCGUCGAAGAAGACGACGUUGAUAGAGUUCUUGUGUAAGAUUCAAGUGCGCAAGUGCGAGAAUUUCAGCAUAGAACUACUAAAAGCUUUAUUUAGUAUU